This 81-nucleotide unclassified non-coding RNA is filed under the name Saccharomyces cerevisiae S288C. Its description in RNAcentral is "5ETS RNA from Saccharomyces cerevisiae S288C (PDB 6ZQD, chain D2)". The record is from RNAcentral. Lineage: Eukaryota; Fungi; Ascomycota; Saccharomycetes; Saccharomycetales; Saccharomycetaceae.
UGCGAAAGCAGUUGAAGACAAGUGCUUGUCGUUCGUUAAAAUGGCCUCGUCGGAUUUGGUGGAAGGAAACUCAAAGAGUGC